Molecule: transfer RNA, 68 nt
Filed under: Conomurex luhuanus
Lineage: Eukaryota; Metazoa; Mollusca; Gastropoda; Littorinimorpha; Strombidae
Description: tRNA-Phe
Source: RNAcentral
GCUUAAAUAGCUUAUAUUCAAGAGCAUGGCACUGAAGAUGCCAAGGAGGCGGCUAUCGCCUUUGAGCA